RNAcentral lists this long non-coding RNA (4153 nucleotides) under Olea europaea subsp. europaea. The record is from RNAcentral. Lineage: Eukaryota; Viridiplantae; Streptophyta; Magnoliopsida; Lamiales; Oleaceae.
UGUGUUGUCCAAAAGAAGAGAGAAAACUAAUUUUGAAAAUAAUAGAAUCAAACAAGCCCUAAUAUUUUUCCUCAAUGAUUGUACUGUGAAGAUGUUGAGACAGAAGAUUCAGAUCAAGAAGAUUGAUAACUUGAUGGCACGCCAAGUCACUUUUCAAAGAGAAUAAGAGGGGUUUAAAAAAGGCUCAAGAACUCUUUCUGAUGCUGAGACUGCCCUAAUUGUUUUUUUGCAACUGGUAGACUCAUCCAUUAUUGUGGCUCAAGGUUCUCUAAUUUCCUCUCUUCUCUCUCUUGAACACGCACACACAAUAUGCUACUGGGUCGAAGCUUUGAUGCUUUUGGCUACUGUGUUUCAAUCGCUUAGCUAGUUUUGUAUGAAAACUAAAGAUUUUAAUGGGCUAAAACCACAGAAAACUUCUUUUGAGAAGGUACGAAUUAAUUAGGCAGUAAUGGAAAUUAUACGGUAGAGAAUUGUAGCUCGGAUAUGGAUGCAAAUAAUCUACAAGUGUUAUACAAAGAAUCGAACAAAACUAGGGGCGAAGGGUACAUUGAUAUAUAUCAAAUGUUUUUCUCCAGUGUGCUUUUGUAAACUAGCUUCUGAUGAAGGGGAGGGGGCAGGGCAGAAUGUAUAGUUGAACAACAAUAAUCAUAUAGAAAAAUGUGAACACAGGGAUGGAACAAAAUAAAAAGUAUUCUCGUAGCUCAGUGGUGUUUUUAACAAAUCUUUUGAUCAUUAAUAGUGGGUGAAUGUUAUUGAAUAGGUUCAUUUUGAGAGUCAAUGUGGGACUCUGGGCAGUAUAAGUUAUGAGUGCAAUAGCGCCCUCUAUGAGAGAUGGCUUGGUUUUUCCUUUUUUUUUUUUUUUUUUUUUUUUUUUUUUUUUUUUUUGUUUUGUUUUUGUUUUGGUCUAAGGUUCAUGCUUUGUACCUUAAACAUGUGAGAUAUUAGGUUUUUUCCUAUCCAAUAUUGUCUUAUGAGAACAUACUCCUUUCGACAUAUCUUUAAGCUUUAAAAUAAUGUGGUUUAAAAUGGUAUCAUAUCAUGCCAAUAUCUUAAGUUGAUGUCUUUAGCCGCCCAUAAUUAUGAAAUUUGUGCAUGCCUCGCACCUUCAACAUGAAAGUACCGAUUCCAGCUUGCACUAGAAAAUCCAUUGGUUUACUAUUCAAUCAGAUCUCUCAUAGCUAUAUUGGUUUUUUCUAUUGCUUAAACAAGACGUAGACCUAUUGAAGUUUCAAACAUUAGUGUCUAACGUCUAUAUAUGGAAUGGAAAAUCUUUCUACAAGUAGUUAUCAACAUCUACGAGGACAAUUUAUGUCAUCUAAUAGCUUAAAUGGUUAAACAACAUAUAUUCCAUUGUUCCAAAGUGACACUAGGAAAAUAUUUCACACUUGUAAACACACAAGGUCCCUAUAAUUCUUAGCUGGCACUUGAAAGGUAAAAACUGAAAACUAAUAUAUAGUUCUACUUGCUUCAUUUUUUAUGUACUCUUUCUUUUUGAUAUUACUAAUAAAAAGUUGGGGAUCAGUAGAUGAUGAGGGUGGUAAAGAGGUGUCAACCUAGUCGGAACAUCCUGGUGUACAACAAAUUCCUAUAAUUUCAGCAGUCUUAUGCAAACACAUAACUGUAGCUGCGUGCAUUUUAAAUUAACCUUCUAGAAUAUAGUAUGGUUGAAUAUAUUUACUAAAGUAAAAAGAAUCGUCUUACUGUUGAAUUUCGUAUUGAUUACAAAACAUGCAUUAAGUCGUAACUUUGAGUUGUGUAUUUGGUAGCAAACUCGCAUUCUAUUUAUAGAAGUAUUAGAUUUUGAUUUCAUCUGCCAUGUAUUAUUCUGCAGCAUAAUGCAACUAAUUGAAAGGCAUAGAAGGCAAUCAGAGAACUCCAACAAAUUAGGGCAACCGUCCCUCCAACUUUAGGUGAGAUAUACCAUUUAUAAACAAUUCAACUUUAAAUUGUUGUUCGUGUUUAUGCUUCAUAUACUGUAAUUAUAACCAGAAAAUAAAGAUAAAUAAGACUUCAGAAUCAAAUUAAUGCAUUCAAUUUUAAACAUUGCCAUAUGAGUUUAAAUAUUGAACACAGAUUGUUUCCAGCGCAUUAAAUGUAGAUUUAUGUUUCCUCCAUGUGGUCAAUUAAAUCUAUAAUGCAAAUAGUCCGUUUAAUUUAAGAUUAUAUUGUUCAAUUUUAUUAUUAUAAUUAAUUAGUCUUUUAUCAUUUUAUUAGGAUUAGGAGUUUAAUCAAAAUAAGUAAUUUUUCUUGAGUUUCUUUUGCUUAAAAGUCUAGUAAGGAGUUUUGCAUAAAUUUGGUGUUAUAAUUGUAUUGUAGGAUGAUUGAUUUUUAAUAUGAAUAGAAAGUUUGAGAUUUUCCUUCAAUUAUCCACCUAAAUGAUUAAUUCGUACGCGAAUUUUCAUUUUUAAUCCCAUAUUUGUUAUCGUUUAAGCUUUUGCAUGUGUUAGUUGAUAUCAUAGUUAGUCUAUGCUUCUAAUAAUGGAUCAAGGAGGACGAGAUAAACGUCUUGUUUUCAUGGUUGAUAAUGGGAACCGUAGACAUGAGCUUAUACAAAUUGUCAAUAUCUUGAGGUCGUGACACAAAAGGUGGGCAGAUUGGUUAUCUUUCCAUAAUAGAUGGUGAGUGACCUUUAUGAUGAUGAUAGGCCAGAGGCACGAGGUGGUGGCCAUGACGUGCAUGUUAUGGCUGCGGGAGACUGGUGCAAUGAUGGGUUUAGUCACGAGCCUGACUGUAGAUAUGUUGCAAAUGGAAAACUCAAAGAUGGAGAGUGUUCCAAUAAUUGAGGGGCUAACGUUGGUUAUGAGAUUGGCGAGCAACGCCCAUGGGGACAAUGAUUCAUAUUGUUGUACGGAUGUUGAGAUGGAGUUGGACACAAAUUUAUAAAUCUUCGAGGAAGAAUUGAUGUCAAGAUUCUCGAGAAACUUGAUAUGGAUCAACUUACUGAUUUUGAGAAUCAAUUCUCAAUGUCAAAAGAUGACCAUCAUGAAAUUAUGGCAGUUGGAAAAAUUGAAACCACAAUGAUGCAAAUAUAAUAAUUUUCACACUUGAAUGGUCAGUUUCCUGUAGAAUGCCACAUGGUUGAACAAGUCAUAGGAUCAAAUAUACUUGGACCAUUUGGAAAUUCCAAAAUUUCGUGACGGACCAACUCUAAAUGUUUCAGUGAAUUUGUUGGGAAACAGUGGGAUAUAUUUCAGUAAUUGCACAAACUUUUUCACGAUCUCUAGAAUUAAGAUAUAUGGAUAAUAUCUUUGACAUUGACGUAUCAGUUAAAUCACCGUCCCUACUAAUUAAUUUCCUAAUCCACUCUCAAACAAAUAAAUAUCUUGUCCAUUCUCAACUAGUUUCAGAUUGCCUAAUCAUUCUUCUUAAUUACUUACAAUCAUUUCUUUCAUGUCUUUCUUUCAUUUAUCAUCUAGAAUGGCAUCAUUGAAAUCAAUAACCGCAUGAUCGUCAAAUAGACAAAACAAAGUUAAUUUCCUAAGAUGUUGAUAUAACUCCUCUGCACCAAAUCUCCCGAAGACUUCUAAAAUGAUGUGGUAUUUUACUUGAAAAUGAUGAAGAUGAAUGUAUAUCUUGACCAUAAUUUGGAGGUGGAAUUGACGGUGUUAGUUGAGGCAGAAUCACAACAACUUGUUCAUCAUCAUCGAAAGGAAAAAAUUAUCGUAUAAUCUUGCUGAUUUUGCCAAUUCCAAUGUCGAACUCAACAUCUCUACUAGUGAUCACCUACUUAUUCAUUGGGUUGUAUAGCUUAUUACCUUUUGAAUCUUGAACAUAGCCAACUAAGAUAUAUUUCUCUCUUGCAUCUAGUUUUAUCCUUUCUUUCAGAACACGAGAUGAAGCAACUAUCUCAGAAAUCCAAAAAUAUGAUACACCUGGCUGGAAUUCAUUCCAUGCUUCUUUAGGAGUCAUUUUGCACAUUUCGAUGGGACAGCGAUUCAACAAAGAUACGGCACAUUGAGCAGCUUCAGCCUGGAACUUCUGUUGCAUCUUCUUAGUUUUCAAAAUAUUUCGAGUCAUUUUUAUGAGUCUUACUCUUCCACUUUGCUAUUAAAGAAUGUUAAAUACCAUGAUCUUUGUAUAUACUCUUGAAUGUGUUGCUAAUAUAUUCACUACCACGAUUUGAGUAUGAGGUUUUGAUUUUGUGACACUUUGA